AAUAGAUACCCUGGUAGUCCACGCCGUAAACGAUGAGUGCUAAGUGUUAGGGGGUUUCCGCCCCUUAGUGCUGCAGCUAACGCAUUAAGCACUCCGCCUGGGGAGUACGGUCGCAAGACUGAAACUCAAAGGAAUUGACGGGGGCCCGCACAAGCGGUGGAGCAUGUGGUUUAAUUCGAAGCAACGCGAAAAACCUUACCAGGUCUUGACAUCCUCUGACAAUCCUAGAGAUAGGACGUCCCCUUCGGGGGCAGAGUGACAGGUGGUGCAUGGUUGUCGUCAGCUCGUGUCGUGAGAUGUUGGGUUAAGUCCCGCAACGAGCGCAACCCUUGAUCUUAGUUGCCAGCAUUCAGUUGGGCACUCUAAGGUGACUGCCGGUGACAAACCGGAGGAAGGUGGGGAUGACGUCAAAUCAUCAUGCCCCUUAUGACCUGGGCUACACACGUGCUACAAUGGACAGAACAAAGGGCAGCGAAACCGCGAGGUUAAGCCAAUCCCACAAAUCUGUUCUCAGUUCGGAUCGCAGU
This 527-nucleotide ribosomal RNA is filed under the name uncultured bacterium. RNAcentral describes it as "bacterial SSU rRNA". It matches the Rfam family "Bacterial small subunit ribosomal RNA", at positions 777 to 1304 of the family's 1533-position model. The record is from RNAcentral.